This 534-nucleotide ribosomal RNA is filed under the name Cortinarius cisqhale. Its description in RNAcentral is "eukaryotic LSU rRNA". The stretch from base 180 to 333 matches the Rfam family "5.8S ribosomal RNA". Lineage: Eukaryota; Fungi; Basidiomycota; Agaricomycetes; Agaricales; Cortinariaceae. The record is from RNAcentral.
AAGGAUCAUUAUUGAAAUAAACUGAUGGGUUGUUGCUGGUUCUCUAGGGAGCAUGUGCACACCUUGUCAUCUUUAUAUCUCCACCUGUGCACCUUUUGUAGGCCUUUCAGGUCUAUGUUGCUUCAUUUACCCCCAAUGUAUGUUAAUAGAAUGUAGUGCUUUAUAAAAAAAAACUAUACAACUUUCAGCAACGGAUCUCUUGGCUCUCGCAUCGAUGAAGAACGCAGCGAAAUGCGAUAAGUAAUGUGAAUUGCAGAAUUCAGUGAAUCAUCGAAUCUUUGAACGCACCUUGCGCUCCUUGGUAUUCCGAGGAGCAUGCCUGUUUGAGUGUCAUUAAUAUAUAUAUCAACCCUCUCUUGUUGAGUGGUUUGGAUGUGGGGGUUUGCUGGCUUCUUUAAAGGGUUCAGCUCUCCUGAAAUGCAUUAGCAGAACAAACCUGUUCAUUGGUGUGAUAAAUAUCUACGCUACUGAAUGUGAGGGGAAGUUCAGCUUUCUAACAGUCUUUGGACAAAUUAUCAUUUAUGUGACCUCAAA